Molecule: unclassified non-coding RNA, 368 nt
Filed under: fungal sp.
Lineage: Eukaryota; Fungi
Description: partial internal transcribed spacer region
Rfam family: Eukaryotic small subunit ribosomal RNA (bases 1-46)
Source: RNAcentral
AAGUCGUAACAAGGUUUCCGUAGGUGAACCUGCGGAAGGAUCAUUAACACGUAUCCAAACGUUCAAACCCCCCCCCGUGAACCUUCAUCCUGCUCUUGUAACCCGCGUUGGCUACGUGCGAACAUUGGAACAGUUACAAUCGAGCGGUAGUUCUAUAGGCAAUGUUUCUCCAAGCAGUCAGUGUCGGAAAGUGUCAUUGAUUGUGCAAGGAUAGCGCUUCUACGAUUCCUGUAGACCGUACACUCGGGCAGGAGCUUUGCCAAAGGGUCCCCAUGCCCCCUAAUAACCCCACAGUUUAAUGUGAAGCUCAAUGUAAUACAUUGGGUAAAAAAACCGAACAACUGUUAACAAUGGAUAUCUUGGUUCUC